RNAcentral lists this ribosomal RNA (524 nucleotides) under uncultured bacterium. RNAcentral describes it as "bacterial SSU rRNA". It matches the Rfam family "Bacterial small subunit ribosomal RNA", at positions 777 to 1301 of the family's 1533-position model. The record is from RNAcentral.
AAUAGAUACCCCGGUAGUCCACGCCGUAACCGAUGAGUGCUAAGUGUUAGGGGUUCCGCCCGUUAGUGCUGCAGCUAACGCAUUAAGCACUCCGCCUGGGGAGUACGGUCGCAAGACUGAAACUCAAAGGAAUUGACGGGGGCCCGCACAAGCGGUGGAGCAUGUGGUUUAAUUCGAAGCAACGCGAAGAACCUUACCAGGUCUUGACAUCCUCUGACAACCCUAGAGAUAGGGCUUUCCCUUCGGGGACAGAGUGACAGGUGGUGCAUGGUUGUCGUCAGCUCGUGUCGUGAGAUGUUGGGUUAAGUCCCGCAACGAGCGCAACCCUUGAUCUUAGUUGCCAGCAUUCAGUUGGGCACUCUAAGGUGACUGCCGGUGACAAACCGGGAGGAAGGUGGGGAUGACGUCAAAUCAUCAUGCCCCUUAUGACCUGGGGCUGCACACGUGCUACAAUGGACAGAACAAAGGGCUGCGAGACCGCAAGGUUUAGCCAAUCCCACAAAUCUGUUCUCAGUUCGGAUCGC